UGCCAAGUGUUUUCUCAAGGUAGGAAUUAGCUAUUAAAGAAAAAUAAAUCAGAUUUGGGGAGGGGAAAGACCAAAGGAUUUUCAAAAAGUGGAUUGUGUAAGAGGUAGAUGACUGAUUUAAGAGAUUUUGUGCAAGAGAUUUGUACUUUUGCUUGUUUAACAAGCAAGCUUCACUCAUAAAAGUGAUGUGACCUCUUCGGUUAAACAUUCACGAUUAAAUCAUGCCCAAGUAUUUUCCGUUAAUACUCGGCCAAAUAUUAAAAAUCUUCCGAUUUCGGUUUACGGUUAGAACUUCGAAAGACAAAAUUCGGAGUGAAAAAUAUUUAGAAAUACGUUAUGGACGAACUUGAUGUCUAUCUUGACUCGAAAUAAUAUUUCAAAGCCAAUGGCGUAAUUGGAAUUUGACUCCGAGUUAAGGAACUCAAAAACACAUUUUUAGGCCGAAUUCGGGCGAAUUUGGGCCGACAGCAGCUCAAAAACUUUCCCUCGCAGAAAAUUAUUAAAAUUUACCACAAAAUAGGUAUUCACAAAACAAGACUAACACUCAACUACAGUUUAGCCUAAAUCAAUACCGGUUAAUUUCUAAAAUUACUCGUUGGGAAAAU
RNAcentral lists this long non-coding RNA (605 nucleotides) under Lupinus angustifolius (narrow-leaved blue lupine). RNAcentral's name for it is "long non-coding RNA (LANG_LNC001923)". Lineage: Eukaryota; Viridiplantae; Streptophyta; Magnoliopsida; Fabales; Fabaceae. The record is from RNAcentral.